CUGGUUGAUCCUGCCAGUAGUCAUAUGCUUGYCUCAAAGAUUAAGCCAUGCAUGUCUAARAAUAAACCCUUGAACGGUGAAUCUGCGAAUGGCUCAUUAAAUCAGUUAUUGUUUAUUUGAUGGUACCUUACUACUUGGAUAACCGUAGUAAUUCUAGAGCUAAUACAUGCGCCAAGCCCUGACUUCGGAAAGGGUGCAUUUAUUAGAUUCAAACCAUCGGUCCGUCUGGGCAACUGGGCGUGGCCUUUGAUGGUGAGUCAUAAUAACUUAGCGAAUCGAAUGGCCUUGAGCCGUCGAUGCUUCAUUCAAAUUUCUGCCCUAUCAGCUUUCGAUGGUAGGAUCUUGGCCUACCAUGGCUAUAACGGGUAACGGGGAAUUAGGGUUCGAUUCCGGAGAGGGAGCUUGAGAAACGGCUACCACAUCCAAGGAUGGCAGCAGGCGCGCAAAUUACCCAAUCCCGACACGGGGAGGUAGUGACAAUAAAUAACGAUGCUGGAUUAUUCUUAAUCCGGCAAUUGGAAUGAGAGUGAAUUAAAUCUCCACUCGAGGAACCAUUGGAGGGCAAGUCUGGU
Molecule: ribosomal RNA, 572 nt
Filed under: uncultured eukaryote
Lineage: Eukaryota
Description: bacterial SSU rRNA
Rfam family: Eukaryotic small subunit ribosomal RNA
Source: RNAcentral